RNAcentral lists this ribosomal RNA (482 nucleotides) under uncultured bacterium. Its description in RNAcentral is "partial 16S ribosomal RNA". It matches the Rfam family "Bacterial small subunit ribosomal RNA", at positions 30 to 507 of the family's 1533-position model. The record is from RNAcentral.
AUUGAACGCUGGCGGCAUGCUUUACACAUGCAAGUCGAACGGCAGCGCGGGGCAACCUGGCGGCGAGUGGCGAACGGGUGAGUAAUAUAUCGGAACGUACCCAGAAGUGGGGGAUAACGUAGCGAAAGUUACGCUAAUACCGCAUACGAUCUACGGAUGAAAGUAGGGGACCGCAAGGCCUUAUGCUUUUGGAGCGGCCGAUAUCUGAUUAGCUAGUUGGUGAGGUAAAGGCUCACCAAGGCGACGAUCAGUAGCUGGUCUGAGAGGACGACCAGCCACACUGGAACUGAGACACGGUCCAGACUCCUACGGGAGGCAGCAGUGGGGAAUUUUGGACAAUGGGCGCAAGCCUGAUCCAGCAAUGCCGCGUGAGUGAUGAAGGCCUUCGGGUUGUAAAGCUCUUUUGUCAGGGAAGAAACGGUAGAGGCUAAUAUCCUUUGCUAAUGACGGUACCUGAAGAAUAAGCACCGGCUAACUACGUG